UGGCAACUGUGAUGACUCCUUUUAACUCUGCAAUGCACACCAUUGUGAAAUGGAGACACUAGUCCCUCUAAACUGAUGUUGCCU
Small nucleolar RNA from Hemicordylus capensis (graceful crag lizard), 84 nucleotides. RefSeq annotates it as small nucleolar RNA SNORD127. Lineage: Eukaryota; Metazoa; Chordata; Lepidosauria; Squamata; Cordylidae. The record is from RefSeq and is a predicted model, not a curated record. The transcript has a single exon.